This 776-nucleotide small RNA is filed under the name Pan troglodytes (chimpanzee). Its description in RNAcentral is "retained intron". Lineage: Eukaryota; Metazoa; Chordata; Mammalia; Primates; Hominidae. The record is from RNAcentral.
GAUAUUCGGAAAUUCUUUGGAGUAAUACCAGGUGGAAAGAAACUUGUAAGUGAAACAGUAAAGAAGAAUGAGAAAACAAAGUCUGAUGAAGAAACUUUAAAAGCAAAGAAAGGAAUAAAGGAAAUCAAGGUAAAUAGCUCCCGUAAAGAGGAUGACUUCAAACAAAAGCAACCAAGCAAGAAAAAGAGGAUCAUCUAUGAUUCAGAUUCAGAGUCAGAGGAGACGUUGCAGGUAAAAAAUGCCAAAAAGCCACCAGAAAAACUGCCAGUAUCUUCUAAACCUGGUAAAAUUUCACGGCAGGAUCCUGUUACAUACAUUUCAGAAACAGAUGAAGAAGAUGACUUUAUGUGUAAGAAGGCGGCCUCUAAAUCAAAAGAGAAUGGAAGAUCUACAAAUAGUCAUCUUGGAACAUCAAACAUGAAAAAGAAUGAAGAAAACACUAAGACCAAGAAUAAGCCUUUAUCACCAAUAAAACUUACACCCACAUCAGUACUUGAUUAUUUUGGAACUGGAAGUGUCCAAAGAUCUAAUAAGAAGAUGGUGGCAAGCAAAAGAAAAGAGCUGGAGAGGCAGUUGCAUGAAGAUGAAGAGUUUGCCAGAACAUUAGCCAUGUUGGAUGAAGAACCCAAGACCAAAAAGGUGGCAUAAUGUUGGGCUAUUUGCGUUCUGAAUAUACAGUACAGAUCAGUGUUCAUACUUGCGUGUUCUAGGCUCUAGCCAAAACAUGAAUAACUUUUCCAGAAAGAAGUUAAAUUAUUUUAUAAAAAUGUUUUUGG